This is a non-coding RNA of Drosophila melanogaster (fruit fly), 672 nucleotides long. NCBI's taxonomy places the organism in Eukaryota, Metazoa, Arthropoda, Insecta, Diptera, Drosophilidae. The record is from Ensembl.
GGUGACAAAGUUCUUCUUCUGGGUAUUGGAAUGCUUACCAUUGUCCGUGUGGGUCUCUAACCACCCUCGGAAGAGCACUCGCAGACUGAUGUCUGUUAAAGUUUCCAGGUCCUUUCUACAGGAAGGCCCCCAUGUAUUAUCUAUACAGCCAAAGAACACAAACAACCAUUGACUUUGUUUUCUGAUCAUAAAAUUUAACGUCGCUGCGGGAAAAAUCUCGCACAAGCUCUUUUGAAAUUUGAAGUUAUGGACAAUAAUUGCCAAGGAUUUGCCUAAAAAGGGAAAAGGGUCGCGACCCUGGAACUUUUCAUUGAAAGGACACACCAUAGAGUUGAGCUUCGAAAAGCCCCUAUCGCACAAUUUUCCCUGGUGCAGUGUCAGCGUUUGAUCCUGGGCAAGACACUCACCUGGACGUAGCACACAUCAAAAAAGCAAACACAUGUCGUGCUAAUCUAGGAAGCCCAACGACGCCCUCGCAAAUGACCUCCAUAUUCGCACUGCAGAGAACGGAUCAACCGUCACUCAAGCCGGUAUAAAGAACGCCUCCACAGCUCACAUCAACCACCUUAACCCGAUGACCCGAUGGCUUAAACAAAAACACCUUGGAGGUCUGUGGACAAGAAGACCAAAUAACUCUUAAGUUCUGAAGCAGUAAUUGUUUUUAUACUAUUU